Molecule: ribosomal RNA, 253 nt
Filed under: uncultured bacterium
Lineage: Bacteria
Description: partial 16S ribosomal RNA
Rfam family: Bacterial small subunit ribosomal RNA
Source: RNAcentral
UACGAAGGGGGCUAGCGAUGUUCGGAAUUACUGGGCGUAAAGCGCACGUAGGCGGAUGUGCCAGUCAGGGGUGAAAUCCCGAGGAUCAACCUCGGAACUGCCUCCGAUACAGCACGUCUCGAGUCAGGAAGAGGUGAGUGGAAUUCCUAGUGUAGAGGUGAAAUUCGUAGAUAUUAGGAAGAACACCAGUGGCGAAGGCGGCUCACUGGUCCGGUACUGACGCUGAGGUGCGAAAGCGUGGGGAGCAAACAGG